This 495-nucleotide ribosomal RNA is filed under the name uncultured bacterium. RNAcentral's name for it is "partial 16S ribosomal RNA". It matches the Rfam family "Bacterial small subunit ribosomal RNA", at positions 28 to 507 of the family's 1533-position model. The record is from RNAcentral.
GACGAACGCUGGCGGCGUGCCUAAUACAUGCAAGUAGAACGCUGAAGGAGGAGCUUGCUUCUCUGGAUGAGUUGCGAACGGGUGAGUAACGCGUAGGUAACCUGCCUGGUAGCGGGGGAUAACUAUUGGAAACGAUAGCUAAUACCGCAUAAGAGUAGAUGUUGCAUGACAUUUGCUUAAAAGGUGCACUUGCAUCACUACCAGAUGGACCUGCGUUGUAUUAGCUAGUUGGUGGGGUAACGGCUUACCAAGGCGACGAUACAUAGCCGACCUGAGAGGGUGAUCGGCCACACUGGGACUGAGACACGGCCCAGACUCCUACGGGAGGCAGCAGUAGGGAAUCUUCGGCAAUGGACGGAAGUCUGACCGAGCAACGCCGCGUGAGUGAAGAAGGUUUUCGGAUCGUAAAGCUCCGUUGUAAGAGAAGAACGAGUGUGAGAGUGGAAAGUUCACACUGUGACGGUAUCUUACCAGAAAGGGACGGCUAACUACGUG